RNAcentral lists this ribosomal RNA (413 nucleotides) under uncultured bacterium. Its description in RNAcentral is "bacterial SSU rRNA". It matches the Rfam family "Bacterial small subunit ribosomal RNA", at positions 81 to 490 of the family's 1533-position model. The record is from RNAcentral.
AAGGCUGAUGGCGACCGGCGCACGGGUGAGUAACACGUAUCCAACCUGCCGUCUACUCUUGGCCAGCCUUCUGAAAGGAAGAUUAAUCCAGGAUGGGAUCAUGAGUUCACAUGUCCGCAUGAUUAAAGGUAUUUUCCGGUAGACGAUGGGGAUGCGUUCCAUUAGAUAGUAGGCGGGGUAACGGCCCACCUAGUCAACGAUGGAUAGGGGUUCUGAGAGGAAGGUCCCCCACAUUGGAACUGAGACACGGUCCAAACUCCUACGGGAGGCAGCAGUGAGGAAUAUUGGUCAAUGGGCGAUGGCCUGAACCAGCCAAGUAGCGUGAAGGAUGACUGCCCUAUGGGUUGUAAACUUCUUUUAUAAAGGAAUAAAGUCGGGUAUGCAUACCCGUUUGCAUGUACUUUAUGAAUAAG